AAGACCUUGCGCUUUUGGAGCGGCCGAUGCCUGAUUAGCUUGUUGGUAAGGUAAAAGCUUACUAAGGCUUCGAUCAGUAGCUGGUCUGAGAGGACGGCCAGCCACACUGGGACUGAGACACGGCCCAGACUCCUACGGGAGGCAGCAGUGGGGAAUUUUGGACAAUGGGGGCAACCCUGAUCCAGCCAUGCCGCGUGAGUGAAGAAGGCCUUCGGGUUGUAAAGCUCUUUCAGCCGGAACGAAACGGUUACGGUUAAUACCCGUGAUUACUGACGGUACCGGAAGAAGAAGCACCGGCUAACUACGUGCCAGCAGCCGCGGUAAUACGUAGGGUGCGAGCGUUAAUCGGAAUUACUGGGCGUAAAGCGUGCGCAGGUGGUUUUGUAAGUCAGAUGUGAAAGCCCCGGGCUCAACCUGGGAACU
Molecule: ribosomal RNA, 423 nt
Filed under: uncultured bacterium
Lineage: Bacteria
Description: bacterial SSU rRNA
Rfam family: Bacterial small subunit ribosomal RNA
Source: RNAcentral